GCGGGUGUGAUGUAAUGGUAGCCUGAUUGGUUUCAGCCAGUUUGUGCCGGUUCGAUUCCGGUCACCUGCU
This 70-nucleotide transfer RNA is filed under the name Nitrosomonadaceae bacterium. Its description in RNAcentral is "tRNA-OTHER". It matches the Rfam family "tRNA". Rfam says of the family: Transfer RNA (tRNA) molecules are approximately 80 nucleotides in length. Their secondary structure includes four short double-helical elements and three loops (D, anti-codon, and T loops). Further hydrogen bonds mediate the characteristic L-shaped molecular structure. tRNAs have two regions of fundamental functional importance: the anti-codon, which is responsible for specific mRNA codon recognition, and the 3' end, to which the tRNAs corresponding amino acid is attached (by aminoacyl-tRNA synthetases). tRNAs cope with the degeneracy of the genetic code in two manners: having more than one tRNA (with a specific anti-codon) for a particular amino acid; and 'wobble' base-pairing, i.e. permitting non-standard base-pairing at the 3rd anti-codon position. The record is from RNAcentral. Lineage: Bacteria; Pseudomonadati; Pseudomonadota; Betaproteobacteria; Nitrosomonadales; Nitrosomonadaceae.